Molecule: ribosomal RNA, 254 nt
Filed under: uncultured bacterium
Lineage: Bacteria
Description: partial 16S ribosomal RNA
Rfam family: Bacterial small subunit ribosomal RNA
Source: RNAcentral
UACGGGGGGGGCAAGCGUUGUUCGGAUUUACUGGGCGUAAAGGGCGCGUAGGCGGUCAGCACAAGUCAGUUGUGAAAUCUCCGGGCUUAACUCGGAAAGGUCAACCGAUACUGUGCGACUAGAGUGCAGAAGGGGCAACUGGAAUUCUCGGUGUAGCGGUGAAAUGCGUAGAUAUCGAGAGGAACACCUGCGGCGAAGGCGGGUUGCUGGGCUGACACUGACGCUGAUGCGCGAAAGCCAGGGGAGCGAACGGG